This 253-nucleotide unclassified non-coding RNA is filed under the name uncultured Rhodobacterales bacterium. RNAcentral's name for it is "contains 16S-23S intergenic spacer region". It matches the Rfam family "Bacterial small subunit ribosomal RNA", at positions 524 to 776 of the family's 1533-position model. Lineage: Bacteria; Pseudomonadati; Pseudomonadota; Alphaproteobacteria; Rhodobacterales. The record is from RNAcentral.
UACGGAGGGGGUUAGCGUUGUCCGGAAUUACUGGGCGUAAAGCGCGCGUAGGCGGGCUAUCAAGUUGGGGGUGAAAUCCCGGGGCUCAACCCCGGAACUGCCUCCAGAACUUCUGGUCUGGAGUUCGAGAGAGGUGAGUGGAAUUCCGAGUGUAGAGGUGAAAUUCGUAGAUAUUCGGAGGAACACCAGUGGCGAAGGCGGCUCACUGGCUCGAUACUGACGCUGAGGUGCGAAAGUGUGGGGAGCAAACAGG